RNAcentral lists this ribosomal RNA (48 nucleotides) under Calostoma sarasinii. Its description in RNAcentral is "partial 25S ribosomal RNA". Lineage: Eukaryota; Fungi; Basidiomycota; Agaricomycetes; Boletales; Calostomataceae. The record is from RNAcentral.
GACCUCAGAUCAGGCAGGACUACCCGCCGAACUUAAGCAUAUCAAUAA